Molecule: ribosomal RNA, 576 nt
Filed under: uncultured eukaryote
Lineage: Eukaryota
Description: SSU rRNA
Rfam family: Eukaryotic small subunit ribosomal RNA
Source: RNAcentral
UUUGUUACUUCAAACCAAUCGGACUUCGGUCUGACAUCAAGUGAUAUUGAACAAUUUAGCUGAUCGCACGGUCUAAGAACCGGCGACAUAUCCUUCAAAUGUCUGCCUUAUCAACUUUCGAUGGUAGAUUAUGCGCCUACCAUGGUUGUAACGGGUAACGGAGAAUCAGGGUUUGAUUCCGGAGAGGGAGCCUGAGAAACGGCUACCACAUCCAAGGAAGGCAGCAGGCACGCAAAUUACCCACUCCCGGCGCGGGGAGGUAGUGACGAAAAAUAACAAGCUGGUCUCAAUGAGCUCCAGCAUUGUAAUGGGAACAAUUUAAAUCUUUUAUCGAGGAUCUAUUGGAGGGCAAGUCUGGUGCCAGCAGCCGCGGUAAUUCCAGCUCCAAUAGCGUAUAUUAAAGUUGUUGCGGUUAAAAAGCUCGUAGUUGGAUCUAGGAUUAGGGCUACGGUCGUUCAGCUUGGACGUACUGUAUGCCCGACUCCUUUUCUCUAGUAUUCGACUGUUGCUCUUAAAUGAGUGACUUUAGUUGCUGGAACUUUUACCUUGAAAAAAUUGAAGUGCUCAAAGCAGGUU